AACGCUGGCGGCGUGCCUAAUACAUGCAAGUCGAGCGGACAGAUGGGAGCUUGCUCCCUGAUGUUAGCGGCGGACGGGUGAGUAACACGUGGGUAACCUGCCUGUAAGACUGGGAUAACUCCGGGAAACCGGGGCUAAUACCGGAUGGUUGUUUGAACCGCAUGGUUCAGACAUAAAAGGUGGCUUCGGCUACCACUUACAGAUGGACCCGCGGCGCAUUAGCUAGUUGGUGAGGUAACGGCUCACCAAGGCGACGAUGCGUAGCCGACCUGAGAGGGUGAUCGGCCACACCUGGGAACUUGAGGACACGGCCMAGACUCCUACGGGAGRCAGMMGUAKGGAAUCUYSCSCAAUGGACGAAAGUCUGACGGAGCARCGCCGCGUGGAGUGAUGAAGGUUUUCGGAUCGUAAAGCUCUGUUGUUAGGGAAGAACAAGUGCCGUUCAAAUAGGGCGGCACCUUGACGGUACCUAACYAGAAAGCCACGGGCUAACUACGGUGCCAGCAGCCGCGGUAAUACGUAGGUGGCAAGGCGUUGUCCGGGAAUUAUUGGGCGUAAAGGGCUCGCCAGGCGGUUUCUUAAGUCUGAUGUUGAAAGCCCCCGGCUCAACCGGGGAGGGUCAUUGGAAACUGGGGAACUUGAGUGCAGAAGAGGAGAGUGGAAUUCCACGUGUAGCGGUGAAAUGCGUUAGAGAUGUGGAGGAACACCAGUGSCGAAGGCGACUCUCUGGUUCUGUAACUGACGCUGAGGAGCGAAAGCGUGGSGAGCGAACAGGAUUUAGAUACCCUGGUAGUSCACGCCCGUAAAACGAUGAGUGCYAAGUGUUAGGGGGUUUCCGCCCCUUAGUGCUGCAGCUAACGCAUUAAGCACUCCGCCUGGGGAGUACGGUCGCAAGACUGAAACUCAAAGGAAUUGACGGGGGCCCGCACAAGCGGUGGAGCACGUGGUUUAAUUCGAAGCAACGCGAAGAACCUUACCAGGUCUUGACAUCCUCUGACAAUCCUAGAGAUAGGACGUCCCCUUCGGGGGCAGAGUGACAGGUGGUGCAUGGUUGUCGUCAGCUCGUGUCGUGAGAUGUUGGGUUAAGUCCCGCAACGAGCGCAACCCUUGAUCUUAGUUGCCAGCAUUCAGUUGGGCACUCUAAGGUGACUGCCGGUGACAAACCGGAGGAAGGUGGGGAUGACGUCAAAUCAUCAUGCCCCUUAUGACCUGGGCUACACACGUGCUACAAUGGACAGAACAAAGGGCAGCGAAACCGCGAGGUUAAGCCAAUCCCACAAAUCUGUUCUCAGUUCGGAUCGCAGUCUGCAACUCGACUGCGUGAAGCUGGAAUCGCUAGUAAUCGCGGAUCAGCAUGCCGCGGUGAAUACGUUCCCGGGCCUUGUACACACCGCCCGUCACACCACGAGAGUUUGUAACACCCGAAGUCGGUGAGGUAACCUUUAUGGAGCCAGCCGCCGAAGGUGGGACAGAUGAUUGGGGUGAAGUC
This 1489-nucleotide ribosomal RNA is filed under the name Bacillus sp. HXP-6. RNAcentral's name for it is "bacterial SSU rRNA". It matches the Rfam family "Bacterial small subunit ribosomal RNA". The record is from RNAcentral. Lineage: Bacteria; Bacillati; Bacillota; Bacilli; Caryophanales; Bacillaceae.